This 24-nucleotide non-coding RNA is filed under the name Arabidopsis thaliana (thale cress). Lineage: Eukaryota; Viridiplantae; Streptophyta; Magnoliopsida; Brassicales; Brassicaceae. The record is from RNAcentral.
AUGGAGGUAUUAACGACGGAAUAC